CGGUAGACACUAAGACUUUAUUCAUGAUGUUGAACUGUGUAACCAUCUCAUUUAAAAGUUUCAUGCGGUAGAGAGGGCAUACUUUUAAUUUCUUAGUUAUAUGCUAGGUAAGGUUGCGUACAAUACACUCUUGUAGUGGGGCCCUUCCCCGGACCCUGCGCAUAGCGGGAGCUUUAGUGCACCAUGCUGCCCUUUUUUUUUUUUUCUUAUGAUAGUCUCAACAUCCUCUCAGGUCCACUUGAUUUUUUUCUUCUUGAGCUAAAAAAUGGAAAUACUUCUUACUUAUUUCUUCUUGUGGUAGUGAGAUUUGAAGCUAGAACUUCUGUCUGCUCCAAAAUCAUGUUGAAUUGUGUGACAGUCUCUUAUACCACAUUAAAAUUAAACAUGAUAUCGGAUCUCAACAUCCUCUCAGGUCCACUUGAUUUUUUUCUUCUUGAGCUAAACACAUGGAAAUACUUCUUACUUAUUUCUUCUUGUGGUAGUGAGAUUUGAAGCUAGAACUUCUGUCUGCUACAAAAUCAUGUUGAAUUGUGUGACAGUCUCUUAUACCACAUUAAAAUUAAACAUGAUAUCGGAUCUCAAACGUCUCAUUUGGGAAAUGAUGUUCUUGAAAAUACACUACAGGUCAUGCAUUUACUAAGCCACAACACCUCUUAAAACUAAAAUACAGAUGACCUAAGUUGCUCGGACCCGCCAAAAAUGCUGCCGAACCCAUGUCGGAUCCUCC
This 727-nucleotide long non-coding RNA is filed under the name Capsicum annuum. RNAcentral's name for it is "long non-coding RNA (CANN_LNC018375)". The record is from RNAcentral. Lineage: Eukaryota; Viridiplantae; Streptophyta; Magnoliopsida; Solanales; Solanaceae.